AACGCUGGCGGCGUGCCUUAUGCAUGCAAGUCGAACGAGGCUAGGACUGCGGUCCGAAACCUAGUGGCGAACGGGUGAGUAACACGUACGUGACCUGUCCAGAAGUGGGGAAUAACCAGCCGAAAGGUUGGCUAAUACCGCAUAUGGUUACUCCUUGGAAGGGGCAAACCAAAGUCGAAAGGCGCUUUUGGAGGGGCGUGCGGCCGAUUAGCUAGUUGGUGUGGUAACGGCGCACCAAGGCAGUGAUCGGUAGCUGGUCUGAGAGGAUGGUCAGCCACACUGGGACUGAGACACGGCCCAGACUCCUACGGGAGGCAGCAGCAGGGAAUUUUGCGCAAUGGGCGAAAGCCUGACGCAGCAACGCCGCGUGGAGGAUGCAGGCUCUUGGGUCGUAAACUCCUUUUGCCGGGGAAGAUAAUGACGGUACCCGGCGAAUAAGCCACGGCUAACUACGUGCCAGCAGCCGCGGUCAUACGUAGGACCCAAGCGUUAUCCGGAAUUACUGGGCGUAAAGAGUUGCGUAGGUGGCAUAGUAAGCAAGCAGUGAAAGCGUGUGGCUCAACCAUACAGCUAUUGUUUGAACUACUAAGCUUGAGCAUUGGAGAGGUAACUGGAAUUCCUAGUGUAGGAGUGAAAUCCGUAGAUAUUAGGAGGAACACCGAUGGCGUAGGCAGGUUACUGGCCAAUUGCUGACACUAAGGCACGAAAGCGUGGGGAGCGAACGGGAUUAGAUACCCCGGUAGUCCACGCCGUAAACUAUGGAUGCUAGCUGUUAUAGGUAUCGACCCCUGUAGUAGCGAAGCUAACGCGUUAAGCAUCCCGCCUGUGGAGUACGAGCGCAAGCUUAAAACAUAAAGGAAUUGACGGGGACCCGCACAAGCGGUGGAGCGUGUUGUUUAAUUCGAUAGUAAACGCAGAACCUUACCAAGGUUUGACAUCUCGGGAAAGUUUCCGAAAGGAAACUGUGCUUUAUUGAACCCGAUGACAGGUGAUGCAUGGCCGUCGUCAGCUCGUGUCGUGAGAUGUAUGGUUAAGUCCAGUAACGAGCGCAACCCUUGUAGCUAGUUGAAUUUCUCUAGCUAGACUGCCCCGGCAACGGGGAGGAAGGAGGGGAUGAUGUCAGGUCAUUAUUUCCCUUAUACCUUGGGCGACAAACACGCUACAAUGGCCGGUACAAAGGGCAGCCAAGCAGUAAUGCGGAGCAAAUCCCAGCAAAGCCGGUCCCAGUUCGGAUUGAGGGCUGAAACUCGCCCUCAUGAAGCUGGAAUCGCUAGUAACGGUAGGUCAGCUAUACUACCGUGAAUACGUUCCCGGGUCUUGUACACACCGCCCGUCAAGUCAUGAAAGUCGCCAAUACCUGA
Molecule: ribosomal RNA, 1361 nt
Filed under: uncultured bacterium
Lineage: Bacteria
Description: 16S ribosomal RNA
Rfam family: Bacterial small subunit ribosomal RNA
Source: RNAcentral